Molecule: transfer RNA, 82 nt
Filed under: Candidatus Iainarchaeum sp.
Lineage: Archaea; Nanobdellati; Candidatus Iainarchaeota; Candidatus Iainarchaeia; Candidatus Iainarchaeales; Candidatus Iainarchaeaceae
Description: tRNA-Ser
Rfam family: tRNA
About the family: Transfer RNA (tRNA) molecules are approximately 80 nucleotides in length. Their secondary structure includes four short double-helical elements and three loops (D, anti-codon, and T loops).
Source: RNAcentral
GCAGAGCUGGCGGAGUGGUCAAACGCGCCCGGCUUGAGACCGGGUUCCUUCUGGAACGGGGGUUCGAAUCCCUCGCUCUGCG